Molecule: long non-coding RNA, 1264 nt
Filed under: Oreochromis niloticus (Nile tilapia)
Lineage: Eukaryota; Metazoa; Chordata; Actinopteri; Cichliformes; Cichlidae
Description: lncRNA (ENSONIG00000042664.1)
Source: RNAcentral
AGAUUUUGACUAUACCGUUCUACCGCGAUAGCGCAUGUUGAUGGUGUCAUCAAGAUGUGCCUGUUUUGGUCAAAAGCAUGGCAGCGGCUGCAAACAAUACCCAGAUAGCAAGACGACAUUGAAUCUAUGUUGAUUUUUCAUCCGAACCGUCGUAUAUGGUCGGGGUUGAAAUGCCAAUGUUGUAACAACAUUGAAAUACUGUGGUAAACCGACGGUCUUACUAUAGAGACGUUGUAACAAUGUUGAUUCACCGUUGUUUUUUUGUCAUUGAUAUUUGAUCUAUUUAUAGUCGACCAGGUGACAACAACAACGUCGAGAAAACGUCUAUUUAUAGUUGACGAUCAUUCGGCUCCGCGGAGCCGAAUAAAAAACCAUCGAUUUGUAGUUGAGCAUUAAAUUGCAUUGCAACUGAUAGGGUAUAAAGUACCAGAGAAAGUAGAUUUAUUGUUCACUUGUUAUCAAUGACUUGGUCUAGUUCACCAGCUUUAAAAAAUCGUGUCUACGUGCAAUUUAUGUAUGUUGACCGGGAAAUUAAAGCAGCGAUCACUUGGACUAUUCCGCAGCACCCCUCUCACAUUGGUACAUCCCCCCAGGUAUUCAUUUUCUUCUACAGUAGAGCGGGACAUUUGAUUUACUCUCAGCGGAAUUGACCGGAGAAGGCAUCAGUUCAUGCACUGCACUGGCCCGCACCACGAUUAGUAUAAGAUCACAUUUGGUUACUACCAUCCACCCAUCAAUACACAGGGCAAGAAAAGACUCCAAAUUUUACAAAAAGUUAAAAAUGAAAGACUGGUGCAUUGUGCAGUUCAACACUGGUGGUACAGAAAUUGUCCCUAGUUCAUGGUUAAAUGGGAAGAAAUUGUCAUGGCCUCCAUAUCCUCCGCGAGACACAUUCAGGAUCCACGCCGCAGUAAAGAGGAGAGUUCAUCCUGGUGCAACAUGGCUCACCUAUGCACCAGUCCGGCUUCUCAUAAGCCAUGACACAUUUCAAGAAGCCGAACGCAGUCUCCAGAAAUAUCUCAGUGAACACUGUGAUACAUCUGACCUUCAGUCCGAAGCUGAAAGUCAGACCACUCUUAAAAGAAAGCACAAACCAAAUCCCCUGUACACGUAUAGUGACUCAGAGGAUGAGCAGCCCACAAAAAAAAGGUUUCCCCAGGCCCCUCGAGUGAAAAUACCAGGUAAUAAAAUAAUGUCUAGUGUCUGUGUACAUAACUGUGUGUCACACAUGGAAACUUCUUGGACAAGUUGUCUGUAUUCUUAA